UGGUGGAGUGAUUUGUCUGGUUAAUUCCGUUAACGAACGAGACCUCGACCUACUAAAUAGUUAACUAAAUUCUUCGGGAUUUAGAUCGACUUCUUAGAGGGACUUUGGGUGAGUAGCCCAAGGAAGUUCGAGGCAAUAACA
Molecule: ribosomal RNA, 141 nt
Filed under: uncultured eukaryote
Lineage: Eukaryota
Description: partial 18S ribosomal RNA
Rfam family: Eukaryotic small subunit ribosomal RNA
Source: RNAcentral